UACACUGUCGUGCUCCUGUACCUAGUUCAC
Molecule: non-coding RNA, 30 nt
Filed under: Mus musculus (house mouse)
Lineage: Eukaryota; Metazoa; Chordata; Mammalia; Rodentia; Muridae
Source: RNAcentral